UACGUAGGGGGCGAGCGUUAUCCGGAAUUACUGGGCGUAAAGGGUGCGCAGGCGGCCAUUUAAGUCAGAUGUGAAAGGCUACGGCUUAACCGUAGUUAGCAUUUGAAACUAGAAGGCUUGAGUGCAGUAGAGGAGAGUGGAAUUCCUAGUGUAGCGGUGAAAUGCGUAGAUAUUAGGAGGAACACCAGUGGCGAAGGCGACUCUCUGGACUGCAACUGACGCUGAGGCACGAAAGCGUGGGUAGCGAACAGGAUUAGAUACCCUGGUAGUCCACGCCGUAAACGAUGAGUGCUAGGUGUUGGAGGAGACAUCCUUCAGUGCCGGAGCUAACGCAUUAAGCACUCCGCCUGGGGAGUACGUACGCAAGUAUGAAACUCAAAGGAAUUGACGGGGACCCGCACAAGCAGCGGAGCAUGUGGUUUAAUUCGACGCAACGCGAAGAACCUUACCAGGGCUUGACAUCCCUCUGCCGUAGCUAGAGAUAGCUAUUUAUCUUCGGAUACAGAGGAGACAGGUGGUGCAUGGUU
This 527-nucleotide ribosomal RNA is filed under the name uncultured bacterium. RNAcentral's name for it is "bacterial SSU rRNA". It matches the Rfam family "Bacterial small subunit ribosomal RNA", at positions 524 to 1050 of the family's 1533-position model. The record is from RNAcentral.